GAUGAACGCUGGCGGCGUGCCUAAUACAUGCGAGUCGAGCGAACAGACGAGGAGCUUGCUCCUCUGACGUUAGCGGCGGACGGGUGAGUAACACGUGGAUAACCUACCUAUAAGACUGGGAUAACUUCGGGAAACCGGAGCUAAUACCGGAUAACAUGUUGAACCGCAUGGUUCAACAGUGAAAGACGGUUUUGCUGUCACUUAUAGAUGGAUCCGCGUCGCAUUAGCUAGUUGGUAAGGUAACGGCUUACCAAGGCAACGAUGCGUAGCCGACCUGAGAGGGGAGUCGCCAAACAUGAACUUGGAACCCGUCCCAGAUCCCAAGGGGAGGCGCCAGUAGGGAUCUUCCGCAAUGGGCGAAAGCCUGACGGAGCAACGCCGCGUGAGUGAAGAAGGUCUUCGGAUCGUAAAACUCUGUUAUUAGGGAAGAACAAAUGUGUAAGUAACUAUGCACGUCUUGACGGUACCUAAUCAGAAAGCCACGGCUAACUACGUG
RNAcentral lists this ribosomal RNA (496 nucleotides) under uncultured bacterium. Its description in RNAcentral is "partial 16S ribosomal RNA". It matches the Rfam family "Bacterial small subunit ribosomal RNA", at positions 28 to 507 of the family's 1533-position model. The record is from RNAcentral.